RNAcentral lists this ribosomal RNA (686 nucleotides) under uncultured bacterium. Its description in RNAcentral is "bacterial SSU rRNA". It matches the Rfam family "Bacterial small subunit ribosomal RNA", at positions 56 to 780 of the family's 1533-position model. The record is from RNAcentral.
UGCAAGUCGUACGCACGCGCUUCGGCGCGUGAGUGGCGCACGGCUGAGUAACACGUGGGAACCCGCCCUCCGGUGGGGGAUAACGCGACGAAAGUCGCGCUAAUCCCGCAUACGUCCGCAAGGGGAAAGCGCUUCGGCGCGCCGGAGGAGGGGCCUGCGGCCCAUCAGGUGGUUGGUGGGGUAACGGCCUACCAAGCCGAUGACGGGUAGCUGGUCUGGGAGGAUGACCAGCCAGACUGGGACUGAGACACGGCCCAGACUCCUACGGGAGGCAGCAGCAAGGAAUUUUCGGCAAUGGGCGCAAGCCUGACCGAGCAACGCCGCGUGCGGGAUGACGGCCUUCGGGUUGUAAACCGCUUUUCGGGGGGACGACUACGACGGUACCCCCGGAAGAAGCCCCGGCUAACUCUGUGCCAGCAGCCGCGGUAAGACAGAGGGGGCGAGCGUUGUCCGGGGUUACUGGGCGUAAAGCGCGCGCAGGCGGUGGUCUCAGUGUCGUGUGAAAGCCCCCGGCUCAACCGGGGGAGGUCAUGGCAAACUAGACGACUGGAGCGGCGGAGAGGCCCCUCGAAUUGCCGGUGUAGCGGUGAAAUGCGUAGAGAUCGGCAGGAAGACCAAGGGGGAAGCCAGGGGGCUGGCCGCUGGCUGACGCUGAGGCGCGACAGCGUGGGGAGCAAACCGGAUUA